UACGAAGGGGGCUAGCGUUGUUCGGAAUUACUGGGCGUAAAGGGCGCGUAGGCGGCCUUCUAAGUCGAACGUGAAAUCCCCGGGCUCAACCCGGGAACUGCGUCCGAUACUGGGAGGCUUGAAUCCGGGAGAGGGAUGUGGAAUUCCAGGUGUAGCGGUGAAAUGCGUAGAUAUCUGGAGGAACACCGGUGGCGAAGGCGGCAUCCUGGACCGGUAUUGACGCUGAGGCGCGAAAGCCAGGGGAGCAAACGGG
This 253-nucleotide ribosomal RNA is filed under the name uncultured bacterium. Its description in RNAcentral is "partial 16S ribosomal RNA". It matches the Rfam family "Bacterial small subunit ribosomal RNA", at positions 524 to 776 of the family's 1533-position model. The record is from RNAcentral.